RNAcentral lists this ribosomal RNA (497 nucleotides) under uncultured bacterium. RNAcentral's name for it is "partial 16S ribosomal RNA". It matches the Rfam family "Bacterial small subunit ribosomal RNA", at positions 28 to 507 of the family's 1533-position model. The record is from RNAcentral.
GACGAACGCUGGCGGCGUGCCUAAUACAUGCCAGUUGAGCGCUGAAGGUUGGUACUUGUACCAACUGGAUGAGCAGCGAACGGGUGAGUAACGCGUGGGGAAUCUGCCUUUGAGCGGGGGACAACAUUUGGAAACGAAUGCUAAUACCGCAUAAAAACUUUAAACACAAGUUUUAAGUUUGAAAGAUGCAAUUGCAUCACUCAAAGAUGAUCCCGCGUUGUAUUAGCUAGUCGGUGAGGUAAAGGCUCACCAAGGCGAUGAUACAUAGCCGACCUGAGAGGGUGAUCGGCCACAGUGGGACUGAGACACGGCCCAAACUCCUACGGGAGGCAGCAGUAGGGAAUCUUCGGCAAUGGACGAAAGUCUGACCGAGCAACGCCGCGUGAGUGAAGAAGGUUGUCGGAUCGUAAAACUCUGUUGGUAGAGAAGAACGUUGGUGAGGGUGGAAAGCUCAUCAAGUGACGGUAACUACCCAGAAAGGGACGGCUAACUACGUG